This is a long non-coding RNA of Phycodurus eques (leafy seadragon), 751 nucleotides long. RefSeq lists it as uncharacterized. The record is from RefSeq and is a predicted model, not a curated record. NCBI's taxonomy places the organism in Eukaryota, Metazoa, Chordata, Actinopteri, Syngnathiformes, Syngnathidae. The transcript has 3 exons.
GGGAGCGCGCACGUAGACUGUCUGGAGUGUGUCUGAAAUUAACAAAAUAGGACACGGAGUUUUUAAAAAAAAAAUUCCCCCCUCACCCCUCGUCUUGCACGACUCUUUCCACUGAGGACACCUGGGCGACUGUGGGAUUUUAUUGAACCGCCACCGGAGCCGUCGUCAUUGGAUAAUUUUUUUGGUGGUGGUGGGGGGGUAAAAGCGAUGUGAAAGUUUUGGUGCGUCAGCAAAUUUCGCUGUGUGCGCAGACAGGAGUGUCUGCGUGCUGCUUUCAGGGUUCACGGAGAGAGCAGCAGCCCAGGAGCAAGGCAGCUGAGGAAGUGCAGAGGGCUGGUGGCGGGCUUGGAGGAAGAUGUCACGCUCGUGAUGGCCCUUUUUUUUGUGGGGGGUGAGGGGGUUGAUGAUGUUGCCACUGUUGCUGCAGCAGCACCAGCUACCACUUUGUGCCUCUCUCAGCCAUGAUGCUGAAUCACCAGGUGAGUGCCACCAAGGGGAGGCUGAGGUGAGUUGAGUUUGAGCCUGUGUAUCCUUGACCCCCAACUCCUUGUGUGUCAACAAACUACACAGUUGCCCACAAGUGGCGUGACUAGGUUUGAUACAUUUUCAUUUGUUUCAAAAAAAUAAUAAAAAUGGAAACAUAACCAACUUGUGAGACAGUCUAACCAUGAAUGUCUGUUGGUACCUUUUCCGUCUCUGUGAAAAUACUUUUAUUUUACUGAAAGUAAAUAAAAUGCUCAUUUUGAAAACA